RNAcentral lists this long non-coding RNA (248 nucleotides) under Medicago truncatula (barrel medic). RNAcentral's name for it is "long non-coding RNA (MTRU_LNC006765)". The record is from RNAcentral. Lineage: Eukaryota; Viridiplantae; Streptophyta; Magnoliopsida; Fabales; Fabaceae.
GUUCAACUCCGGCGGCGGCGCCGCCACCCUUGGGCGGCCGGCCACCACGCCGGAGGAACAAACCUCACCGGAGAAGAUGAAGAUCAUCCUCCAUAUGCGGUUUCCGGCGAGAGAGAGGGAGGAGAGAAGUGAGAGCUUCUCUCACUAGAAUGAGAGAAGAGAGAGAAAGGAGAGGAAGAAAUGGAAAAAAACCGGUCCAUAAGCCUUUAUAUAAACAACUGAACCGGUCCGGUUUAUUUCUGGUUCUU